CAAUGAUUAUCUCGAAUUUUUGUCUUUUGUUAAAUCAAACAUUUCUAAGUUUAUAGUACGAGAUUACGGUGAUUUUUGUUAUACAAAUCACAGUUAGACAUGUUUCAAAACAUUUCCUAAACUAAUAAUUUUUCUUAUCUUAUAUUUUAGAGGACAAUGUUUGAUGAUAGCGUGCAAUAACAGUGAGUGUCUCUCGUAUGGGAAGAACCGUUGGCAUGCUUAUAAAGGAAACACAUAGAACCAUAUAGCAACCCAAGAUUAAAUGGCUAUUUGAAUACAGAGUGACAGUGUUUUUAGGCCAACCAUCAAUGAAGGUCAUCAUAUGAAUAAUUUAAUUGUUUUUGUGUAAAAUAUUUAUUUUUCUAUUUAAUUUACCAGAAGAGAUGUUGUUUCUAUAGCAGUAAUAGUCUCCUCCAAUGAUUUACUUGACAUUUUAAAAUAAAUUAGUUAAAACAAAACCAUAUUUUCAUCAACCGCAUAUAUUUUUAUGAUGAUUUAUA
Molecule: long non-coding RNA, 500 nt
Organism: Mytilus californianus (California mussel)
Lineage: Eukaryota; Metazoa; Mollusca; Bivalvia; Mytilida; Mytilidae
Exons: 3
Source: RefSeq, a predicted model, not a curated record